RNAcentral lists this ribosomal RNA (454 nucleotides) under uncultured bacterium. Its description in RNAcentral is "bacterial SSU rRNA". It matches the Rfam family "Bacterial small subunit ribosomal RNA", at positions 340 to 786 of the family's 1533-position model. The record is from RNAcentral.
UACGGGAGGCAGCAGUGGGGAAUAUUGCACAAUGGGCGCAAGCCUGAUGCAGCCAUGCCGCGUGUAUGAAGAAGGCCUUCGGGUUGUAAAGUACUUUCAGUCGUGAGGAAGGUGUUAAGGUUAAUAACCUUAGCAAUUGACGUUAGCGACAGAAGAAGUACCGGCUAACUCCGUGCCAGCAGCCGCGGUAAUACGGAGGGUGCGAGCGUUAAUCGGAAUUACUGGGCGUAAAGGGCACGCAGGCGGUUAAUUAAGUUGGAUGUGAAAUCCCCGGGCUUAACCUGGGAAUGGCAUUCAAGACUGGUUAGCUAGAGUCUUGUAGAGGGGGUUAGAAUUCCAUGUGUAGCGGUGAAAUGCGUAGAGAUGUGGAGGAAUACCGGUGGCGAAGGCGGCCCCUGGACAAAGACUGACGCUCAUGUGCGAAAGCGUGGGGAGCAAACAGGGAUUAGAUACC